GAUGAACGCUGGCGGCGUGCCUAAUACAUGCAAGUCGAGCGAACAGACGAUGAUCUUUCUCCUCUUACUUUUUCGUCGGACGUUUUAGUAACACGUUUAUAACCUACCUUUAAGACUGGGAUUACUUCGGGAAACCGGUGCUUAUACCGGAUAAUAUAUUUAACCGCAUGGUUCUAUAUUUUAAUACGUUUUUUCUGUCACUUAUUGAUUCAUCCUCUCCGCAUUAGCUAGUUGGUAAGGUAACGGCUUACCAACGCAACGAUGCGUAGCCGACCUGAGAGGGGGAUCGGCAACACUGGAACUGAGACAAGGACAAGACAACUACGGGAGGCAGCAGUGGGGAAUAUGACGCAAUGGGCGAAAGCAUGACGGAGCAACGCCGCGUGAGUGAAGAAGGUCUGCGGAUCGUAAAACUCUGUUAUUAGGGAAGAACAAAUGUGAAAGUAAAUAUGCACGUAUUGACGGUACCUAAACAGAAAGCAACGGCUAACUACGUG
Molecule: ribosomal RNA, 497 nt
Filed under: uncultured bacterium
Lineage: Bacteria
Description: partial 16S ribosomal RNA
Rfam family: Bacterial small subunit ribosomal RNA
Source: RNAcentral